Molecule: long non-coding RNA, 923 nt
Organism: Chelonia mydas (Green sea turtle)
Lineage: Eukaryota; Metazoa; Chordata; Testudines; Cheloniidae
Exons: 3
Source: RefSeq, a predicted model, not a curated record
CAUGCUUAGAAGCAUGCAUGUGGGUUCCUGUCAUAACUAUAAGGGGAAGGGUAACCACCUUUCUGUAUACAGUGCUAUAAAGUCCCUCCUGGCCAGAGGCAAAACCCUUUUACCUGUAAAGGGUUAAGAAGCUCAGGUAACCUGGCUGGCACCUGACCCAAAAUGACCAAUGAGGGGACAAGAUACUUUCAAAUCUGGAGGGGAGGAAAAGGCUUUUGACUGUCUGUGUGAUAUCUUUGCUGGGAACAGAUCAAGGAUGCAAGCCCUCCAACUCCUGUAAAGUUACGAAAACUUGAAGGUGUGCCAGGGCAGUCUAUCCGUGCGGGGAAGGCGGGGAACUGUCCAGGCUGGGAUUACCCCGUCAGAAGGGAGAGAGAUGAGAUCUCCACUCAAGAGAGGGCAGAGGAGCUCUCAGCAUAAAGCCACUCCUGCACCAGCUUCCUCCCACCAUAACAGAGCGGGCACAUGAAGAUCAAAGGAAAACAGAGAAACCAGAAACACCAGGUGGAGCAGCUAUGGAAGUGAAGCCCUUGGAGAGCAAAGGGCUAUGGUUGGGAAAGGAGGAGAAGGCAACCCAAAGUGACAAUUGGUCAAAGAAAUAAAAAUCAAGGGGAACAUCCACAGUCAGUGUGUUUGCUCAGUUUAGAGAGAAGAAGAAUGGUAAGGGGACAAAAUAAAGUAGACAAACCAACGAAUGGUGGGGCUAGACAAUGAAAAUUCUAUUAAAAGAAAUACUUUUCACCAUAGAUAAUUAACCCGCGGAACUCACCACCACAGGACAUGAUAGAAAUCAAGAGUUUAAGAAGAUUAAAAAAAGAGGAGCCAUUUGUCUGGAUAAUGAGAACAUGGAUAGCUAUGUUAGGAUAAAUUUAAAAAUAAGUAUAAACUGUCAUGCUGCAGGGAACAAGCCAGACAUUAACUGA